GAUAAACGCUAGCGGCAGGCUUAACACAUGCAAGUCGAGGGGCAGCAUAGAUUGUAGCAAUACAAGUCGUGGCGACCGGCGCACGGGUGCGUAACGCGUAUGCAACCUACCCGUCACAGGGGGAUAAUCCGGAGAAAUCUGGUCGAAUACCCCAUAACAUAUGGAUCGGCAUCGGUUUAUGUUGAAUUGUUCGGAGGUGACGGAUGGGCAUGCGUAGCAUUAGCUUGUUGGUGAGGUAACGGCUCGCCAAGGCGACGAUGCUUAGGGGGACUGAGAGGUUUUCCCCCCACACUGGUACUGAGACACGGACCAGACUCCUACGGGAGGCAGCAGUGAGGAAUAUCGGUCAAUGGGCGCAAGCCUGAACCAGCCAUGCCGCGUGCAGGAUGACGGCUCUAUGAGUUGUAAACUGCUUUUGUACGAGGGUAAAGUGGGUUACGUGUAACCUUUUGGCAGUAUCGUACGAAUAAGGAUCGGCUAACUCCGUGCCAGCCGCCGCCGUAA
Molecule: ribosomal RNA, 504 nt
Filed under: uncultured bacterium
Lineage: Bacteria
Description: partial 16S ribosomal RNA
Rfam family: Bacterial small subunit ribosomal RNA
Source: RNAcentral